CCGUCUACAGGUGACAAGUGCCUACGAGUACAUAGAGCUUCGCUUUAACCGCGUUGUUCGCCUGAUGGGGACAUGCGUGUUUCUUGUGAGCACGUUCCUCUACAUGGCCGUUG
This is a long non-coding RNA of Priapulus caudatus, 113 nucleotides long. RefSeq lists it as uncharacterized. The transcript is spliced from 3 exons. The record is from RefSeq and is a predicted model, not a curated record. NCBI's taxonomy places the organism in Eukaryota, Metazoa, Priapulida, Priapulimorpha, Priapulimorphida, Priapulidae.